CCUACGGGCGGCAGCAGUGAGGAAUAUUGGUCAAUGGGCGUAAGCCUGAACCAGCCAAGUCGCGUGAGGGAUGAAGGUUCUAUGGAUCGUAAACCUCUUUUAUAAGGGAAUAAAGUGUGGGUCGCGUCCUGUUUUGUAUGUACCUUAUGAAUAAGGCUCGGCUAACUCCGUGCCAGCAGCCGCGGUAAUACGGAGGAUCCGAGCGUUAUCCGGAUUUAUUGGGUUUAAAGGGUGCGUAGGCGGCCUUUUAAGUCAGCGGUGAAAGUCUGUGGCUCAACCAUAGAAUUGCCGUUGAAACUGGGAGGCUUGAGUAUGUUUGAGGCAGGCGGAAUGCGUGGUGUAGCGGUGAAAUGCUUAGAUAUCACGCAGAACCCCGAUUGCGAAGGCAGCCUGCCAAGCCAUGACUGACGCUGAUGCACGAAAGCGUGGGGAUCAAACAGGAUUAGAUACCCCAGUAGUC
Molecule: ribosomal RNA, 460 nt
Filed under: uncultured bacterium
Lineage: Bacteria
Description: partial 16S ribosomal RNA
Rfam family: Bacterial small subunit ribosomal RNA
Source: RNAcentral